Molecule: ribosomal RNA, 468 nt
Filed under: uncultured bacterium
Lineage: Bacteria
Description: partial 16S ribosomal RNA
Rfam family: Bacterial small subunit ribosomal RNA
Source: RNAcentral
GACGAACGCUGGCGGCGUGCCUAACACAUGCAAGUCGAACGGAAAGGCCCUGCUUUUGUGGGGUGCUCGAGUGGCGAACGGGUGAGUAACACGUGAGUAACCUGCUCUUGACUUUGGGAUAACUUCAGGAAACUGGGGCUAAUACCGGAUAGGAGCUCCUGCUGCAUGGAGGGGGUUGGAAAGUUUCGGCGGUCGGGGAUGGACUCGCGGCUUAUCAGCUAGUUGGUGGGGUAGUGGCUUACCAAGGCUUUGACGGGUAGCCGGCCUGAGAGGGUGACCGGCCACAUUGGGACUGAGAUACGGCCCAGACUCCUACGGGAGGCAGCAGUGGGGAAUAUUGCACAAUGGGCGGAAGCCUGAUGCAGCAACGCCGCGUGCGGGAUGACGGCCUUCGGGUUGUAAACCGCUUUCGCCUGUGACGAAGCGUGAGUGACGGUAAUGGGUAAAGAAGCACCGGCUAACUACGUG